CUUCGGCCUUAGUGGCGCACGGGUGCGUAACGCGUGGGAAUCUGCCCCUUGGUUCGGAAUAACAGUUGGAAACGACUGCUAAUACCGGAUGACGACGUAAGUCCAAAGAUUUAUCGCCGAGGGAUGAGCCCGCGUAAGAUUAGCUAGUUGGUGUGGUAAAGGCGCACCAAGGCGACGAUCUUUAGCUGGUCUGAGAGGAUGAUCAGCCACACUGGGACUGAGACACGGCCCAGACUCCUACGGGAGGCAGCAGUGGGGAAUAUUGGACAAUGGGCGAAAGCCUGAUCCAGCAAUGCCGCGUGAGUGAUGAAGGCCUUAGGGUUGUAAAGCUCUUUUACCCGGGAUGAUAAUGACAGUACCGGGAGAAUAAGCUCCGGCUAACUCCGUGCCAGCAGCCGCGGUAAUACGGAGGGAGCUAGCGUUAUUCGGAAUUACUGGGCGUAAAGCGCACGUAGGCGGCUUUGUAAGUUAGAGGUGAAAGCCUGGAGCUCAACUCCAGAAUUGCCUUUAAGACUGCAUCGCUUGAAUCCAGGAGAGGUGAGUGGAAUUCCGAGUGUAGAGGUGAAAUUCGUAGAUAUUCGGAAGAACACCAGUGGCGAAGGCGGCUCACUGGACUGGUAUUGACGCUGAAGUGCGAAAGCGUGGGGAGCAAACAGGA
Molecule: ribosomal RNA, 658 nt
Filed under: bacterium 30-L049616-122-011-F04
Lineage: Bacteria
Description: bacterial SSU rRNA
Rfam family: Bacterial small subunit ribosomal RNA
Source: RNAcentral